RNAcentral lists this ribosomal RNA (215 nucleotides) under uncultured Glomeromycotina. Its description in RNAcentral is "partial small subunit ribosomal RNA". The stretch from base 38 to 215 matches the Rfam family "Eukaryotic small subunit ribosomal RNA", at positions 685 to 864 of the family's 1831-position model. The record is from RNAcentral. Lineage: Eukaryota; Fungi; Glomeromycota.
GAAUCAAUUUGUUGGUCGUGCCUCGGUACGUACUAGUAUUAUUGAUUUCUACCUUCUGACGAACCAUGAUGUCAUUAAUUUGGUGUCUUGGGGAAUCAGGACUGUUACUUUGAAAAAAUUAGAGUGUUUAAAGCAGGCUAACGCUUGAAUACAUUAGCAUGGAAUAAUGAAAUAGGACGUUUGAUUCUAUUUUGUUGGUUUCUAGGAUCGACGUA